RNAcentral lists this long non-coding RNA (298 nucleotides) under Physcomitrium patens. RNAcentral's name for it is "long non-coding RNA (PPAT_LNC005495)". Lineage: Eukaryota; Viridiplantae; Streptophyta; Bryopsida; Funariales; Funariaceae. The record is from RNAcentral.
CAAUUUAUACCUAAAAUCCUAAACUUGAUGGCUAUAGCCUCCAAAGCUUGAAUGACUUCGAAAAAGAAAUUCUAAUUCCUAAUAAGGCCUUGGGCAGCCUCCUUGAAGCCAACUAGGCAUGGCCUUUGACCAACAAGAAUGAAGAUCUCCAUUCCUUGUGUUUAUACAACCAUGCCUUGCUUUCAUCUCUCCUAAUAAGCCUCCUACUAGUUAAGAUUUUCUUCUUUAGGCUCUAAUUUCCUCUCAAGGCUUCAUACUAAACAUUUAGGUCCUAUAAUUUUUUUGAAAUGCUGUAAUC